GAUGAACGCUGGCGGCGUGCCUAAUACAUGCAAGUCGAGCGAACAGAUGAGGAGCUUGCUCCUCUGACGUUAGCGGCGGACGGGUGAGUAACACGUGGAUAACCUACCUAUAAGACUGGGAUAACUUCGGGAAACCGGAGCUAAUACCGGAUAUAUAUUGAACCGCAUGGUUCAAUAGUGAAAGACGGUUUUGCUGUCACUUAUAGAUGGAUCCGCGCCGCAUUAGCUAGUUGGUAAGGUAACGGCUUACCAAGGCAACGAUGCGUAGCCGACCUGAGAGGGUGAUCGGCCACACUGGAACUGAGACACGGUCCAGACUCCUACGGGAGGCAGCAGUAGGGAAUCUUCCGCAAUGGGCGAAAGCUUGACGGAGCAACGCCGCGUGAGUGAUGAAGGUCUUCGGAUCGUAAAACUCUGUUAUUAGGGAAGAACAAAUGUGUAAGUAACUAUGCACGUCUUGACGGUACCUAAUCAGAAAGCCACGGCUAACUACGUG
This 496-nucleotide ribosomal RNA is filed under the name uncultured bacterium. RNAcentral's name for it is "partial 16S ribosomal RNA". It matches the Rfam family "Bacterial small subunit ribosomal RNA", at positions 28 to 507 of the family's 1533-position model. The record is from RNAcentral.